CAGGGAUUGCCCUAGUAACGGCGAGUGAAGCGGCAACAGCUCAAAUUUGAAAUCUGGCCCUCGGGUCCGAAUUGUAAUUUGUAGAGGAUGUUUUUGGUGCGGUAUCUUCCGAGUUCCUUGGAACAGGACGCCUUAGAGGGUGAGAGCCCCGUACGGUUGAAUGCCUAGCCUUUGUAAAACUCCUUCGACGAGUCGAGUAGUUUGGGAAUGCUGCUCUAAAUGGGAGGUAAAUUUCUUCUAAAGCUAAAUACUGGCCAGAGACCGAUAGCGCACAAGUAGAGUGAUCGAAAGAUGAAAAGCACUUUGAAAAGAGGGUUAAAUAGCACGUGAAAUUGUUGAAAGGGAAGGAUUUAUGACCAGACUUUUUCUAGGCGAAUCAUCCGGUGUUCUCACCGGUGCACUUCGUUUAGUUUAGGCCAGCAUCGAUUUUCGGGGUGGGAUAAAAGCUUUAGGAAUGUGGCUCCCUCGGGAGUGUUAUAGCCUAUUGUAUAAUACCGCCCUGGGGAUCGAGGUACGCGCUUCUGCAAGGAUGCUGGCGUAAUGGUUAUCAAUCACCCGUCUUGAAACACGGACCAAGGAGUCGAACAUUUGUGCAAGUGUUUGGGUGUUAAACCCUCACGCGUAAUGAAAGUGAACGGAGGUGAGAGCCCUUACGGGUGCAUCAUCGACCGAUCCUGAUGUCUUCGGAUGGAUUUGAGUAAGAGCAUAACUGUUCGGACCCGAAAGAUGGUGAACUAUGCGUGGAUAGGGUGAAGCCAGAGGAAACUCUGGUGGAGGCUCGCAGCGGUUCUGACGUGCAAAUCGAUCGUCAAAUCUGCGCAUGGGG
Molecule: ribosomal RNA, 826 nt
Filed under: Allelochaeta orbicularis
Lineage: Eukaryota; Fungi; Ascomycota; Sordariomycetes; Amphisphaeriales; Sporocadaceae
Description: partial 28S ribosomal RNA
Rfam family: Eukaryotic large subunit ribosomal RNA
Source: RNAcentral